RNAcentral lists this ribosomal RNA (323 nucleotides) under uncultured Assulina. Its description in RNAcentral is "SSU rRNA". The stretch from base 105 to 323 matches the Rfam family "Eukaryotic small subunit ribosomal RNA", at positions 735 to 955 of the family's 1831-position model. The record is from RNAcentral. Lineage: Eukaryota; Cercozoa; Imbricatea; Euglyphida; Euglyphidae.
GAUUUCUGGCGAACCGGCCCAACCCGAUACUGUAUAGUGUUGAGUGCUGAGUCGUGUUUGUCAUCCUUCCGGAAAGCUGCGUCUACCAUUCAGUUGGCCGGACGUACGUGAUCCGGAUCUAUUACUUUGAAAAAAUUAGAGUGUUUAAAGCAGGCUUACGCUAUGAAUACAUUAGCAUGGAAUAAUAAUUUAGGACUUUGGUUCUAUUUUGUUGGUUUCUAGGACUGAAGUAAUGAUUGAUAGGGAUAGUUGGGGGUGCUAGUAUUCCGCGGCCAGAGGUGAAAUUCUUGGAUUCGCGGAAGACUAACUACUGCGAAAGCAUU